RNAcentral lists this ribosomal RNA (827 nucleotides) under Pasteurella multocida. RNAcentral's name for it is "bacterial SSU rRNA". It matches the Rfam family "Bacterial small subunit ribosomal RNA", at positions 1 to 815 of the family's 1533-position model. The record is from RNAcentral. Lineage: Bacteria; Pseudomonadati; Pseudomonadota; Gammaproteobacteria; Pasteurellales; Pasteurellaceae.
GAAUUGAAGAGUUUGAUCAUGGCUCAGAUUGAACGCUGGCGGCAGGCUUAACACAUGCAAGUCGAACGGUAGCAGGAAGAAAGCUUGCUUUCUUUGCUGACGAGUGGCGGACGGGUGAGUAAUGCUUGGGAAUCUGGCUUAUGGAGGGGGAUAACUGUGGGAAACUGCAGCUAAUACCGCGUAUUCUCUGAGGAGGAAAGGGUGGGACCUUAGGGCCACCUGCCAUAAGAUGAGCCCAAGUGGGAUUAGGUAGUUGGUGGGGUAAAGGCCUACCAAGCCUGCGAUCUCUAGCUGGUCUGAGAGGAUGACCAGCCACACUGGAACUGAGACACGGUCCAGACUCCUACGGGAGGCAGCAGUGGGGAAUAUUGCGCAAUGGGGGGAACCCUGACGCAGCCAUGCCGCGUGAAUGAAGAAGGCCUUCGGGUUGUAAAGUUCUUUCGGUAAUGAGGAAGGGAUGUUGUUAAAUAGAUAGCAUCAUUGACGUUAAUUACAGAAGAAGCACCGGCUAACUCCGUGCCAGCAGCCGCGGUAAUACGGAGGGUGCGAGCGUUAAUCGGAAUAACUGGGCGUAAAGGGCACGCAGGCGGACUUUUAAGUGAGAUGUGAAAUCCCCGAGCUUAACUUGGGAACUGCAUUUCAGACUGGGAGUCUAGAGUACUUUAGGGAGGGGUAGAAUUCCACGUGUAGCGGUGAAAUGCGUAGAGAUGUGGAGGAAUACCGAAGGCGAAGGCAGCCCCUUGGGAAUGUACUGACGCUCAUGUGCGAAAGCGUGGGGAGCAAACAGGAUUAGAUACCCUGGUAGUCCACGCUGUAAACGCUGUCGA